This is a non-coding RNA of Cricetulus griseus (Chinese hamster), 1383 nucleotides long. The record is from RefSeq and is a predicted model, not a curated record. NCBI's taxonomy places the organism in Eukaryota, Metazoa, Chordata, Mammalia, Rodentia, Cricetidae.
CAUGUGAAUGCAGCCAGGAGUGUGAACAGAAUCUUCCUGUUCUGAAGUAGAAUUACUCACCUGGGUCCAUAGGGGUGACAUGGCACCAGGAGGGAAAACAUAAGAUCCUGGCUCCUAAUGAGAAACAGCUGCCUGUGGAAUAAAAUUAGUGUGAGUUGUGUAAUCCCAGCUGGCCAGUUGCAGGAACAGGGAGGUGGCAGGAGCUGAGGGAACAGGCCCUGCAGCCCAUCCUCACCCUCUGGGUUGGAAUUUCUGAAUCUCUUCUUUGCCUUGAGUCAGAAUAGGAAACCGAACCCUGACCGCGCGUUUCUUUUUAUAGAAUUGAACUUUCUUGCCAGCUUCCUCUGGAGCGCAAGAUCGUCCCUCUUCGUCUCUAAACAAUACGCCAAUCAUCAGAUGCAAAAGAAGAUGGAGUGGAUGCCACUCUCCCUGCCCGCCUGUAACAUAUUAGUGACUGUCUUCAGUAGACGGGGAUAACUGCCUCUGAGCUCCUUUGACCAUCUAGUAGACCUCAUCGCUGGAUUACCUGGUUUCCAUUCUUUUAUUCUUCCUUGGAAGGGCUUGUCAUGCAAUGUGUCAGCCUGGAGGGAAAGGAAGACAGACGCCUUGCUAGCCAAGAGGAUCCCAGUGACUUUGCCAGCCACAAGCCCCCAGCAGCCAUGCUGAUAACUCAUCUCUGGGGGAGCAUCCAGUACCCCCAUAGCAGCCUCAGCAGGCACCCCAGAUGGUAGCUUUGUCAAGCCCCACUGUGUGACAAGAGCAUAAUCUCUCCAAAGAGAAUGUAUGUAUGUUCCUGCCUGAAAGGGAGGGCGGAGAAAUGGUCCAAACCUCUGGGACUGCACAUUCUGGCCCCAGAUAACACAGCGAGGGUCUUGGCAAGGCCUCUCCGAUUCUAAGAAAACCACAGAAGGAAACUGUUGUCCCUAGGAGAUUAGGUGAGACCAGAGACACUGAGACCAUGAGGGCCAAGAAGUUCUGGAGAAGGUGGGGUCUGAGCAAAGAGCCCAAGGCAAACAUGAACUUUAAAAAAAUUAGGUUCUGCCCACCUGGUGACACAAGCCUGUAAUCCCAAUGGAGAGGCUUGAGAAUUAAGAGCUAUAUAGUGAGACCCUGUCUCAAAAAUAGUAAAUACUUAUUUUUAUUAAGAGUAAUAGAAAAUUUUAUUUUAAAACUGGAUUCGUUCCUUUUUCUCCCCCAUGCUAGUUCUUAACCAAUGCCCACUCAAUGUGUUCCCAGAGAGACAAGUUGCUCAUUUGAGUGUCAUGAGAAACCCAGCAGUGUGAAUGCUCCCAAGGAUGGAAUUUAUUUGGAAACAAAUUACUUGAUUACUCAGGAAAAGGUGCGACAGCAACGGAAGUCCUGUCAGGAAGCAGGGGAGGCACA